This 492-nucleotide ribosomal RNA is filed under the name uncultured bacterium. RNAcentral describes it as "partial 16S ribosomal RNA". It matches the Rfam family "Bacterial small subunit ribosomal RNA", at positions 30 to 507 of the family's 1533-position model. The record is from RNAcentral.
AUUGAACGCUGGCGGCAUGCUUUACACAUGCAAGUCGAACGGUAACAGGCCUUCGGGUGCUGACGAGUGGCGAACGGGUGAGUAAUGCAUCGGAACGUACCCAGAGGUGGGGGAUAACGCAGCGAAAGCUGUGCUAAUACCGCAUGUGAUCUGAGGAUGAAAGCGGGGGACCGAGCAGCAAUGUUUGGCCUCGCGCCUUUGGAGCGGCCGAUGUCGGAUUAGCUAGUUGGUGGGGUAAAGGCCUACCAAGUGGACGAUCCGUAGCUGGUCUGAGUGGCCGACCAGCCACAUUGGGACGGAGACAGGGACCAGACUCCUACGGGAGGCAGCAGUGGGGAAUUUUGGACAGUGGGCGCAAGCCUGGUCCAGCAAUGCCGCGUGCGAGAAGGAGGCCUUCGGUUUGUAAUCCGCUUUUUGGAGGAGCGAAACGGUGUCCGCUAAUACCGGGCGCUAAUGACGGUACCUGGAAAAUAAGCACCGGCUAACUACGUG